CAAUAGCGUAUAUUUAAGUUGUUGCAGUUAAAAAGCUCGUAGUUGGAUUUCUGCUGAUCGCUGUCGGUCUGCCGUCAGGUGUGUACUGGCAGUGUUUGGCAUCUAUUCGAGAUUGGGUGUCCACUUGAUUGUGUGCACUCGAUGUCGGAGCUAAUACUUUGAGAAAAUUAGAGUGUUCCACGCAGGUGCGUGCCUUGAAUACUGCAGCAUGGGAUAUUGGAAGGCCGAUUGAGCUUUCUUGUUGGUUCUCGGUUUGAUCGGAAUGAUUAAUAGGGAUAGUUGGGGGCAUUCGUAUUCAACUGUCAGAGGUGAAAUUCUUGGAUUUGUUGAAGACGGACUACUGCGAAAGCAUCUGCCAUGGAUGUUCUCAUUGA
RNAcentral lists this ribosomal RNA (374 nucleotides) under uncultured eukaryote. RNAcentral's name for it is "partial 18S ribosomal RNA". It matches the Rfam family "Eukaryotic small subunit ribosomal RNA", at positions 592 to 976 of the family's 1831-position model. The record is from RNAcentral.